Molecule: long non-coding RNA, 1237 nt
Organism: Cornus florida
Lineage: Eukaryota; Viridiplantae; Streptophyta; Magnoliopsida; Cornales; Cornaceae
Exons: 3
Source: RefSeq, a predicted model, not a curated record
CUAACAACAUUUUUAAUAAGUGCAGCACCUGAUUGCUGCAGCAGCAACAUGGACCCAUUUUUUAUAUUUGAUUUUCAUUAUUUAUGUUAUUGUUGUAGGCUCAUUUUUUAUUUUUAUUAUUCAUUUUUCAUUUCCAAUCGCUCUUCACUUUCUCUCUCUACCCCCGAUCCUUUCUCUCUCUAGCUCGACUUAGGCUCUUCUCUCGUCACUUCUCGCUCGUCGCUCUUCAAUCGAGUGGUUGAUUUACAUUUUAUCUCCAAUGAUCAUCGGUUGUGCUAUUUGAGCAUAUAUUCGGUUGUGCUAUUUGAUUUGGCAGCCAAAUCAACGUCUGAUUCGCCAAAGCAGGCCAUAGAUAAUCGUUCUUAUCUUCAUUUUUGUCAACUCACAGCUUCUCUGAAGAAAGAUGAGAGCUGGAAGUCAUGUUUACGCUUAUGUUGGGAGGGUUUCAGUCACUCUCUUCUUAUAGAUAGAAGCAAAAAGAAAACUACUCCUGUAAGUGAUGAGGAAGAUCCCUAACAAAAGAGCAUUGCUUCCCAAGGUCAAUAAAGUUAAAACGGGCUAAAAAUGGCUUCUUAAGACCUUUUGGAGUCAAACUAAGUUUUUGUGAGAAUCUGGAGCAAAAUGAGGUUGAUCUAGAGUAGAAAGGAGGAUGAUGCUGAAAACUGCCAAGUUGGAUUAAUCGAAGAAAAGUUGGAUCGAUCAAACUCUGAUCGAUCGAACUGUUCGCAGAAGUUAUAAAAAAGCAGAUCUAAAGUUCAUUUCAAACCAACUUGGACUGUGCUUGAAAGAGAAGAUCCUAGGGCUGAGUUCUCACAUUUUUGGGCUCUCAAAGCCUUGUAUAUAUGAGAGAUUGAACCAUUUUGUAGGGAGAUUCAUAUUUUUACAUUGUAAUUUCUAUAUUUUCAUUAGUUUCUCUCUUUAAAAAGUUAGAGAUUAGGGUUAGAAGAAAAGAGAAGAGUGGUGGCACCAAGAACACAUCUCAAGAUGUACACACACUCUCUUUCUAGAAUUCAACAAAGAAGAAGAGGAAAAAGAUGGAGCCAUGUUUGAGGAUUGCCCUUAAGGGUUCCAAGAUCACACCCACCUCCUCCAUGAUUGGCUUGACUUCUCCUUGGGCUUGGAUGAGCCCCAAGUUUGUAAUCUAAACCUCUAUCUCUUUCAUACUUUUUGGGGAAUAAUAUUUUGUAAUUAAUGUUUUAGCCUUGUGAAUAAAAUGAAUCUUGGUAUAUUUCUAUGA